AUAUUUUAAAUUUGGGACAUU
This 21-nucleotide microRNA is filed under the name Zea mays. Its description in RNAcentral is "microRNA miR-3203". The record is from RNAcentral. Lineage: Eukaryota; Viridiplantae; Streptophyta; Magnoliopsida; Poales; Poaceae.